UACGGGGGGGGCAAGCGUUGUUCGGAAUUACUGGGCGUAAAGGGCUCGUAGGCGGCCAACUAAGUCAGACGUGAAAUCCCUCGGCUUAACCGGGGAACUGCGUCUGAUACUGGAUGGCUUGAGUUUGGGAGAGGGAUGCGGAAUUCCAGGUGUAGCGGUGAAACGCGUAGAUAUCUGGAGGAACACCGGUGGCGAAGGCGGCAUCCUGGACCAAUACUGACGCUGAGGAGCGAAAGCCAGGGGAGCAAACGGG
RNAcentral lists this ribosomal RNA (253 nucleotides) under uncultured bacterium. RNAcentral describes it as "partial 16S ribosomal RNA". It matches the Rfam family "Bacterial small subunit ribosomal RNA", at positions 524 to 776 of the family's 1533-position model. The record is from RNAcentral.